This 445-nucleotide ribosomal RNA is filed under the name uncultured bacterium. Its description in RNAcentral is "bacterial SSU rRNA". It matches the Rfam family "Bacterial small subunit ribosomal RNA", at positions 29 to 496 of the family's 1533-position model. The record is from RNAcentral.
AACGAACGCUGGCGGCAGGCUUAACACAUGCAAGUCGAACGCCCCGCAAGGGGAGUGGCAGACGGGUGAGUAACGCGUGGGAAUCUACCCAGAACUUCGGAACAACUGAGGGAAACUUCAGCUAAUACCGGAUACGCCCUACGGGGGAAAGAUUUAUCGGUUCUGGAUGAGCCCGCGUUGGAUUAGCUAGUUGGUGAGGUAAAGGCUCACCAAGGCGACGAUCCAUAGCUGGUCUGAGAGGAUGAUCAGCCACACUGGGACUGAGACACGGCCCAGACUCCUACGGGAGGCAGCAGUGGGGAAUAUUGGACAAUGGGCGAAAGCCUGAUCCAGCCAUGCCGCGUGAGUGAUGAAGGCCUUAGGGUUGUAAAGCUCUUUCGGACGGAAAGAAAUCGCGCAGGUAAAUAAUCUGCGUGGAUGACGGUACCGUAAGAAGAAGCACCGG